GGCCUCGUAGCUCAGUUAGCAGAGCAUUGGACUAGUAUCUCAAAGGUCGCGGGUUCGAUUCCCACCGUGGUCA
Molecule: transfer RNA, 73 nt
Filed under: Paramuricea clavata
Lineage: Eukaryota; Metazoa; Cnidaria; Anthozoa; Malacalcyonacea; Plexauridae
Rfam family: tRNA
About the family: Transfer RNA (tRNA) molecules are approximately 80 nucleotides in length. Their secondary structure includes four short double-helical elements and three loops (D, anti-codon, and T loops).
Source: Rfam by way of RNAcentral